GCGUGCAGGUCCCCGAGGACCCUGGUGAUGGCUGCAGGUGUCGGCAGCACAGCGGAGGCGCUCCAGCCCCUGCAGGCAGGCUCCCCAUCUCCACGGCCCUCCUGAUCCCCAGAACAGGCGGGCGCCCCCGGCCUCCCCUCCCCAGCUCCCGCCCAGAGUGCCCGGCCCGCUCCAGGCCCUCGUGGGGCUCCUCCACAGGGCCUACUGAGCCCCCCACCUCACGGCCACAGGCAGGUGGCACGUGUGGCCGCCGUCCUCGUGGACUGUGAGCGUUUCCUGGGCAGCCAAUGGUCAGUGGCCCCGGGACACCGCGUCUCCUGUCCGCUCCGCCUUCUCCAUGUCUUCAGCUCUCCUUUUAGUAGAUGGAGGGUCCUCCUUUGCAUAAAGCACUCGGCAGGAACCGCAAACGUGCCAUUGUGAGAUGGGGCAGUACAGGGCUCAGCCUCCAGGGAGGCGCCCCCGAGGCCCGACGUAAGCAGCGCAGGCCUCCUGCUCCUCGUCUGCUGUGAAACCAGCGCGCCCUCUCCCUGGCCCACCCACCAGGUGGCCUUCUUCCUCCCAGGCUGGGCGAGCCUGUGUCCCUUCAGGGCUGCAGAAGUCAGCCAUGAGUCUGUUCAUGCCGCCUGGCCCUGGGACAGUCGGCUUUUCGCUUCUUUUCACUGAGGUGUUGGCCCUCACAGCGGCAGCUUUCCACGCUCGGGAUUCCCCGCUCGGGAUUCCCCACAGGGACCUCGCUGGGCCUCCCGCGGGCUGGCCCACCAGACCCAACCUUGGGGCUGUGCCAGGCCCGGGUUUGGGGCACAUGAGAGACAGUGUCAGGAUGGGUGAGUGUGCUCAGGUGGGCUGGCGCCCUCCCGGCUCCCUCCCCCGCCUCUGGGGACCGUGUCCGGCUGUCACUGGCCCCUGAGCCAGGACCACCAUCUCGUGUGUGCCCAGCCCUCUAAGCGGCCCACUGGGAAACUCCCUUCCUGUGGCCCCCGUGUGCGUGCGAGCACUUCAGAGGCAUCUUGAGGAAACGGGCCUCUGACGCCUCCAGAGCCCCCUUCAGCCUGGCGAUGGGACAUGGGCCCCUCCUGAAGAAUCGCACGCUCCUGAGGGCCUUGGCCACGUGAGCUGGAUGCCUGAGGUCGCCUGAGAUGGAGACAGGGCAGGGGAGCUGGGGGCCCCGAGAUGACACGUCACCUGCCCAGCAGCCCCGCGCUCCUCUGACAUCUGCCGUGGCCUCCCCAUCACUCCUCGGGCGUCAGGGCGACGGGGAGUAGCGUGUGGUCCCGCGGCCUCCUUCCAGGAAGCCAUCGCCCGCACCGUGUCGCCGGCCGGGCCUCAGGAACCAGCCCGUCUUGUCCGGGCCCCUGCACUCUCUGUGAGGCUGGAAACGCAGCUGAGGCGCUCAGAGGGAUCUGCACUCCCACCCCCACUGCAGGGCCUCAUCAAUAAUUGAUUCUGCAGAAGGCAGGGGAGUUCCAGCCAAGAGGGAAGGAAAGAUCCACGGCUCACUCAGGCGGAGCCCGGGCCAGCGAAACCCUGCAGAGACCGCCCCCCCCCCACUGUGGGCCAGGGCUGGGGGCCUGCAGGAGGCGCCCCGCCAGGCGCCCCCCAGCACAGCACCACGGGCAGGGCUACAGGACGGUUGUAUCGAUCGCCCCCGCUUUCCAAUCUUGCCUGCAGCUCCCUGGGCUGAAAGAUGAUGGAUGACAGCUGGGGGGUCAUGUGGCCACAUCCCCGCCUGAAGGGAGCCCUCCUCUGGCCCCCAAAGCUGGGGGGAUGCGGGCGCGCACAGAGCAGAGAAGCAGCAAAACACAGCCCCUCACUGCUGUGUGAGGCCAUCAGCAGUCACUCCCCACGCCGCCCAGCCCCCGUCCCCAGGCGGCCACCAGCCUACUUUCUGUUUCCAUAGAUUUGGUCUGUUCUGGACAUUUCAC
Molecule: long non-coding RNA, 1922 nt
Organism: Dama dama (fallow deer)
Lineage: Eukaryota; Metazoa; Chordata; Mammalia; Artiodactyla; Cervidae
Exons: 3
Source: RefSeq, a predicted model, not a curated record